RNAcentral lists this ribosomal RNA (562 nucleotides) under uncultured archaeon. Its description in RNAcentral is "bacterial SSU rRNA". It matches the Rfam family "Archaeal small subunit ribosomal RNA", at positions 733 to 1301 of the family's 1478-position model. The record is from RNAcentral.
AUACCCGGGUAGUCCCAGCUGUAAACGAUGCAGACUAGGUGUUUGGACGGCCACGUGCCGUUCUAGUGCCGCAGGGAAGCUGUUAAGUCUGCCGCCUGGGGAGUACGAUCGCAAGAUUGAAACUUAAAGGAAUUGGCGGGGGAGCACCACAAGGGGUGAAGCUUGCGGUUUAAUUGGAGUCAACGCCGGAAAUCUCACCGGGAGCGACAGCAGUAUGAAGGCCAGAUUAAAGGUCUUGCCAGACGAGCUGAGAGGAGGUGCAUGGCCGUCGCCAGUUCGUGCCGUGAGGUGUCCUGUUAAGUCAGGCAACGAUCGAGACCCGCGUCCUCUGUUGCAACUAGCUUUGAGCUGGGCACACUGAGGAGACCGCCACUGAUAAAGUGGAGGAAGGAGCGGGCCACGGCAGGUCAGUAUGCCCCGAAUCUCCCGGGCCACACGCGAGCUGCAAUGGCAGGUACAAUGGGUUCCGACCUCGAAAGGGGAAGGCAAUCUCGAAAGCCUGCCGUAGUUGGGAUCGAGGGCUGUAACCCGCCCUCGUGAACAUGGAAUCCCUAGUAAUCGC